UACGUAGGCAGCAAGCGUUGUUCGGAAUUACUGGGCGUAAAGAGUGUGUAGGCGGUGCCCUAAGUCUGUUGUGAAAUCUCCCGGCUUAACUGGGAGGGUGCGGUGGAAACUGGGGUGCUUGAGUGUGGGAGAGGUAAGCGGAAUUCCUGGUGUAGCGGUGAAAUGCGUAGAUAUCAGGAGGAACACCGGUGGUGUAGACGGCUUACUGGACCACGACUGACACUGAGGCACGAAAGCGUGGGUAGCAAACAGG
RNAcentral lists this ribosomal RNA (253 nucleotides) under uncultured bacterium. RNAcentral describes it as "partial 16S ribosomal RNA". It matches the Rfam family "Bacterial small subunit ribosomal RNA", at positions 524 to 776 of the family's 1533-position model. The record is from RNAcentral.